This 495-nucleotide ribosomal RNA is filed under the name uncultured bacterium. RNAcentral's name for it is "partial 16S ribosomal RNA". It matches the Rfam family "Bacterial small subunit ribosomal RNA", at positions 28 to 505 of the family's 1533-position model. The record is from RNAcentral.
GAUGAACGCUGGCGGCGUGCCUAAUACAUGCCAGUCGAGCGAACGGACGAGAAGCUUGCUUCUCUGAUGUUAGCGGCGGACGGGUGAGUAACACGUGGAUAACCUACCUAUAAGACUGGGAUAACUUCGGGAAACCGGAGCUAAUACCGGAUAAUAUUUUGAACCGCAUGGUUCAAAAGUGAAAGACGGUCUUGCUGUCACUUAUAGAUGGAUCCGUGCUGCAUUAGCUAGUUGGUAAGGUAACGGCUUACCAAGGCAACGAUGCAUAGCCGACCUGAGAGGGUGAUCGGCCACACUGGAACUGAGACACGGUCCAGACUCCUACGGGAGGCAGCAGUAGGGAAUCUUCCGCAAUGGGCGAAAGCCUGACGGAGCAACGCCGCGUGAGUGAUGAAGGUCUUCGGAUCGUAAAACUCUGUUAUUAGGGAAGAACAUAUGUGUAAGUAACUGUGCACAUCUUGACGGUACCUAAUCAGAAAGCCACGGCUAACUACG